CUAAAGUUUUAUUUAAGCUUAGGAUUUUAGUUUAUUUUUUUUUUACAUGUAAAUAUUUUUGUUUUAACAACUAUUUAUGCAGUAUUUAAUUUUAUAUAUCAAAUUAUUUUGGAUUUAGAAAUUGAUAAGAGUUUUAAUAAAUUUUGUGCCAGCAAUUGCGGUUAUACAAAUAAUGCAAUUAAAAAUUUUUGGUUAGUAAUUAAAUGUUUAAUUUUUGUUAAAAUUUAUUAUUAAAUUUUUUAGGUGAAAUUUUAAAUUUAAUAUAAGUUUCUUUAGUUUAUUUUGAGGUUAUUAAAGUUUUCUUUUAGACUAGGAUUAGAUACCCUAUUAUUAAAAUUGUAAAUAUUGAAUGCCUGAUUAUUAGUAGAUUAUUUACUUGAAAAUUAAAGAUUUUGGCGGUAUUUUAGUCCAUUCAGAGGAACCUGUCCUGUAAUUGAUAGUCCACGAUUUACUUUACUUUUUUUUUGUUUGUAUAUCGUCGUGGUAUGAGUAUUUUAGAAGGAUUUAUAAUACUCAAUAAGUAUAAUUAUAGUUUAUGUCAGAUCAAGGUGCAGCUUAUAAAAAAGAAGAGAUGGGUUACAAUAAAUUUAUUUUUGGUUUACUAUUUGAAUAUUUAAUUUGGUAAUAAAUUGGAUUUGAAUGUAAUAAUUUUUAGAUUAUAAUUGUGAUUAUUGGCUCUAAAAUAUGCACAUAUUGCCCGUCGCUCUCAUUUAAUAUGAGAUAAGUCGUAACAUAGUAGAUGUACUGGAAAGUGUAUCUAGAAAGAU
This 767-nucleotide non-coding RNA is filed under the name Agriotes hirayamai. The record is from RNAcentral. Lineage: Eukaryota; Metazoa; Arthropoda; Insecta; Coleoptera; Elateridae.